UGGGGAAUCUUGGACAAUGGGCGCAAGCCUGAUCCAGCCAUGCCGCGUGAGUGAUGAAGGCCUUAGGGUUGUAAAGCUCUUUUGCCGGGGACGAUAAUGACGGUACCCGGAGAAUAAGUCCCGGCUAACUUCGUGCCAGCAGCCGCGGUAAUACGAAGGGGACUAGCGUUGUUCGGAAUCACUGGGCGUAAAGCGCACGUAGGCGGAUUUGUAAGUCAGGGGUGAAAUCCCGGGGCUCAACCUCGGAACUGCCUUUGAUACUGCGGACCUCGAGUCCGAUAGAGGUGAGUGGAAUUCCUAGUGUAGAGGUGAAAUUCGUAGAUAUUAGGAAGAACACCAGUGGCGAAGGCGGCUCACUGGAUCGGUACUGACGCUGAGGUGCGAAAGCGUGGGGAGCAAACAGGAUUAGAUACCCUCGUAGUCCCUGAGCGGGCUGGCAAGGCGCAU
RNAcentral lists this ribosomal RNA (447 nucleotides) under uncultured bacterium. Its description in RNAcentral is "bacterial SSU rRNA". It matches the Rfam family "Bacterial small subunit ribosomal RNA", at positions 355 to 825 of the family's 1533-position model. The record is from RNAcentral.